Molecule: ribosomal RNA, 396 nt
Filed under: Nematoda sp. YAMAG2018
Lineage: Eukaryota; Metazoa; Nematoda
Description: SSU rRNA
Rfam family: Eukaryotic small subunit ribosomal RNA
Source: RNAcentral
UAGCAGAGCAUAUGGGCUAGUCCCGAUGCCAUAUCUUUCAAGUGUCUGUAUUAUCAACUUUCGAUGGUAGUUUAUGUGCCUACCAUGGUUGCAACGGUUAACGGAGAAUAAGGGUUCGACUCCGGAGAGGCAGCCUGAGAAACGGCUACCACAUCCAAGGAAGGCAGCAGGCGCGCAAAUUACCCACUCUCGGCACGAGGAGGUAGUGACGAAAAAUAACGAGGUAGCUCUCAUUGAGGUCUACCAUCGGAAUGGGUACAAUCUAAACCCUUUAACGAGGAUCUAUUGGAGGGCAAGUCUGGUGCCACCAGCCGCGGUAAUUCCAGCUCCAAUAGCGUAUAUUAAAGUUGUUGCGGUUAAAAAGCUCGUAUUGGAUCUCAGACUGUGAGGGUCGGU